This 372-nucleotide ribosomal RNA is filed under the name uncultured organism. Its description in RNAcentral is "bacterial SSU rRNA". It matches the Rfam family "Bacterial small subunit ribosomal RNA", at positions 526 to 896 of the family's 1533-position model. The record is from RNAcentral.
CGAAGGGUGCAAGCGUUGUUCGGAUUUAUUGGGCGUAAAGCGCGCGUAGGCGGACCUGCAAGUCAGAUGUGAAAUCUCGGGGCUCAACCUCGAAACUGCGUCUGAAACUACAGGUCUAGAAUCUUGGAGGGGGAAGGGGAAUUUCUCAUGUAGGGGUAAAAUCCGUAGAUAUGAGAAGGAACACCAGAGGCGAAGGCGCCUUCCUGGACAAGUAUUGACGCUGAGGCGCGAAAGCGUGGGGAUCAAACAGGAUUAGAUACCCUGGUAGUCCACGCUGUAAACGAUGAAUACUAGAUAUUGCAGGACUUGACCCCAGCAGUGUCGUAGCUAACGCGUUAGGUAUUCCGCCUGGGAAGUACGGUCGCAAGACUA